Long non-coding RNA from Selaginella moellendorffii, 295 nucleotides. RefSeq lists it as uncharacterized. The record is from RefSeq and is a predicted model, not a curated record. The transcript has 4 exons. NCBI's taxonomy places the organism in Eukaryota, Viridiplantae, Streptophyta, Lycopodiopsida, Selaginellales, Selaginellaceae.
UCUUGGAGGUUUUUGGACCUGUUGUCCUUCAGGUUACUGGACAAUAAUGGCUUCUCUGGAGAAGUUCCCGAUGAAAUUGGAAACUUUUCCAAGCUGACCAUCAUGAGACUUGACAAAAAUCGAUUUGCUGGAUCACUGCUGAGCAGUUUGGGGCGGAUAUCAACCCUCUUUGAAAUACACAUCAAUGAUAACGCUUUUACUGGAACGUUACCUGAUCUAAGCGGGUUGAGAGCUCUCCAACUAAUAAGCGUUGGAAACAACUCCUUUUCUCCUCAGCCAGUUCCAUCAUUUGCAG